RNAcentral lists this transfer RNA (71 nucleotides) under Capra hircus (goat). It matches the Rfam family "tRNA". Rfam says of the family: Transfer RNA (tRNA) molecules are approximately 80 nucleotides in length. Their secondary structure includes four short double-helical elements and three loops (D, anti-codon, and T loops). The record is from Rfam by way of RNAcentral. Lineage: Eukaryota; Metazoa; Chordata; Mammalia; Artiodactyla; Bovidae. RNAcentral also lists the same sequence under 1 other name.
UCCUAGGUGGCUCAAUGGUAAAGAAUCUGCCUGCAAUGCAGGAGACUCAGGUUCAGUUCCUGGGUCAGGAA